AUAAGCCCCGGCUAACUACGUGCCAGCAGCCGCGGUAAUACGUAGGGUGCAAGCGUUAAUCGGAAUUACUGGGCGUAAAGCGUGCGCAGGCGGUUAUGUAAGACAGGUGUGAAAUCCCCGGGCUUAACCUGGGAACUGCAUUUGUGACUGCAUGGCUGGAGUGCGGCAGAGGGGGGUGGAAUUCCGCGUGUAGCAGUGAAAUGCGUAGAUAUGGGGAGGAACACCGAUGGCGAAGGCAAUCCCCUGGCCCUACACUGACGCUCAGGCACGAAAGCGUGGGGAGCAAACAGGAUUAGAUACCCUGGUAGUCCACGCCCUAAA
RNAcentral lists this ribosomal RNA (321 nucleotides) under uncultured bacterium. RNAcentral's name for it is "bacterial SSU rRNA". It matches the Rfam family "Bacterial small subunit ribosomal RNA", at positions 486 to 806 of the family's 1533-position model. The record is from RNAcentral.